This 676-nucleotide ribosomal RNA is filed under the name uncultured beta proteobacterium. Its description in RNAcentral is "bacterial SSU rRNA". It matches the Rfam family "Bacterial small subunit ribosomal RNA", at positions 494 to 1167 of the family's 1533-position model. The record is from RNAcentral. Lineage: Bacteria; Pseudomonadati; Pseudomonadota; Betaproteobacteria.
CGGCUAACUACGUGCCAGCAGCCGCGGUAAUACGUAGGGUGCGACCGUUAAUCGGAAUUACUGGGCGUAAAGGGUGCGCAGGCGGUCUUGCAAGUCAGAUGUGAAAGCCCCGGGCUUGACCUGGGAAUUGCGUUUGAAACUACAAGGCUACAGUGCAGCAGAGGGGAGUGGAAUUCCAUGUGUAGCAGUGAAAUGCGUACAGAUGUGGAACAACACCGAUGGCGAACGCAGCUCCCUGGGUCCACACUGACGCUCAUGCACCAAAGCGUGGGGAGCAAACAGGAUUACAUACCCUGGUACUCCACGCCCUAAACGAUGUCAACUAGUUGUCGGAUCUAAUUARGGAUUUGGUAACGUAGCUAACGCGUGAAGUUGACCGCCUGGGGAGUACGGUCGCAAGAUUAAAACUCAAAGGAAUUGACGGGGACCCGCACAAGCGGUGGAUUACGCGGAUUAAUUCGAUGCAACGCGAAAAACCUUACCUACCCUUGACAUGCUUGGAAUCUAAUGGAGACAUAAGAGUACCCGAAAGGGAGCCAAGACACAGGUGCUGCAUGGCUGUCGUCAGCUCGUGUCGUGAGAUGUUGGGUUAAGUCCCGCAACGAGCGCAACCCUCGUCACUAAUUGCUAUCAUUUUUAAUGAGCACUUUAGUGAGACUGCCGGUGACAAACCGGA